NGUUGUUUGGCCGAGCGGUCUAAGGCGCCUGAUUCAAGNUCAGGUAUCGUAAGAUGCGUGAGUUCGAAUCUCACAGCAACCA
This 82-nucleotide transfer RNA is filed under the name Zygosaccharomyces bailii CLIB 213. Its description in RNAcentral is "tRNA-Leu (CAA) (tRNA-Leu-CAA-3-1)". It matches the Rfam family "tRNA". From Rfam's summary of the family: Transfer RNA (tRNA) molecules are approximately 80 nucleotides in length. Their secondary structure includes four short double-helical elements and three loops (D, anti-codon, and T loops). The record is from RNAcentral. Lineage: Eukaryota; Fungi; Ascomycota; Saccharomycetes; Saccharomycetales; Saccharomycetaceae.